AACGAACGCUGGCGGCAGGCCUAACACAUGCAAGUCGAACGAGAUGCUUGUCUUCGGAUGAGUAUUCUAGUGGCGGACGGGUGCGUAACACGUGGGAAUCUACCUUAUAGUGGGGGAUAACUUCUGGAAACGGGAGCUAAUACCCCAUACGCCCUUCGGGGGAAAGACUUGUUGCUAUAAGAUGAGCCCGCGGUGGAUUAGAUAGUUGGUGAGGUAAAGGCUCACCAAGUCUACGAUCUAUAGCUGGUCUGAGAGGAUGACCAGCCACACUGGGACUGAGACACGGCCCAG
This 291-nucleotide ribosomal RNA is filed under the name uncultured bacterium. RNAcentral describes it as "partial 16S ribosomal RNA". It matches the Rfam family "Bacterial small subunit ribosomal RNA", at positions 29 to 334 of the family's 1533-position model. The record is from RNAcentral.